UUCAGCAUGAAGUGAAAUCUCUAAUAAGUUUGCUCCUAUCGAUGUAAAGGAGCAUGGUUUAAGUAGUUGGAAUAUGGAUGUUUAUUAAUUAAGUUGAUAGUAGGGGAGAAAAACCCAGCUGGGAUUCUUAUUUUUGCUCCUCUUUUAAUUUUUUCUCUGGGAAAACCCUUCCAUCCCAUUAUUUAAUAAAUCCAACCAAAUUCUCUACUGAAGACCAA
This 218-nucleotide long non-coding RNA is filed under the name Zostera marina. RNAcentral's name for it is "long non-coding RNA (ZMAR_LNC005607)". The record is from RNAcentral. Lineage: Eukaryota; Viridiplantae; Streptophyta; Magnoliopsida; Alismatales; Zosteraceae.